CGGGCGGGCAUGCUUAACAUGCAAGUCGAACGGCAGCACGGGUGCUUGCACCUGGUGGCGAGUGGCGAACGGGUGAGUAAUACAUCGGAACAUGUCCUGUAGUGGGGGAUAGCCCGGCGAAAGCCGGAUUAAUACCGCAUACGAUCUACGGAUGAAAGCGGGGGACCUUCGGGCCUCGCGCUAUAGGGUUGGCCGAUGGCUGAUUAGCUAGUUGGUGGGGUAAAGGCCUACCAAGGCGACGAUCAGUAGCUGGUCUGAGAGGACGACCAGCCACACUGGGACUGAGACACGGCCCAGACUCCUACGGGAGGCAGCAGUGGGGAAUUUUGGACAAUGGGCGAAAGCCUGAUCCAGCAAUGCCGCGUGUGUGAAGAAGGCCUUCGGGUUGUAAAGCACUUUUGUCCGGAAAGAAAUCCUUGGCUCUAAUACAGUCGGGGGAUGACGGUACCGGAAGAAUAAGCACCGGCUAACUACGUGCCAGCAGCCGCGGUAAUACGUAGGGUGCAAGCGUUAAUCGGAAUUACUGGGCGUAAAGCGUGCGCAGGCGGUUUGCUAAGACCGAUGUGAAAUCCCCGGGCUCAACCUGGGAACUGCAUUGGUGACUGGCAGGCUAGAGUAUGGCAGAGGGGGGUAGAAUUCCACGUGUAGCAGUGAAAUGCGUAGAGAUGUGGAGGAAUACCGAUGGCGAAGGCAGCCCCCUGGGCCAAUACUGACGCUCAUGCACGAAAGCGUGGGGAGCAAACAGGAUUAGAUACCCUGGUAGUCCACGCCCUAAACGAUGUCAACUAGUUGUUGGGGAUUCAUUUCCUUAGUAACGUAGCUAACGCGUGAAGUUGACCGCCUGGGGAGUACGGUCGCAAGAUUAAAACUCAAAGGAAUUGACGGGGGACCCGCACAAGCGGUGGAUGAUGUGGGAUUAAUUCGAUGCAACGCGAAAAACCUUACCUACCCUUGACAUGGUUCGGAAUCCUGCUGAGAGGCGGGAGUGCUCGAAAGAAAACGGGCGCACAGGUGCUGCAUGGCUGUCGUUCAGCUCCGUUGUCGUGGAGAUGUUUGGGUUAG
Molecule: ribosomal RNA, 1062 nt
Filed under: Burkholderia sp.
Lineage: Bacteria; Pseudomonadati; Pseudomonadota; Betaproteobacteria; Burkholderiales; Burkholderiaceae
Description: bacterial SSU rRNA
Rfam family: Bacterial small subunit ribosomal RNA
Source: RNAcentral